GCAGAAGCUUCCAGAAACUCCCUGGUGGGCGACCCAGCCCGAGCUGCCUGGGGCCCCAAGGGAAGCUGAACGCCCUGUGGGCUCCUGGGAUGGUUCUUCCCGUUCUUUGCGCCGCCUUCACCCAUUGAAGGAGCCUGUGCCCACCCUGCCCAGUCGCUUUCCGGGCCGCUGAGGAGCUUCCGCUGCCAUCUUCGGAUCCUGUGUUCCGCACGGGGGCUCCACCAGGGCAGGGAUGGUGAAUGGGGAAAUGGAGAGAGAACCUGAAAGAGCCCCAAACUCGAGGACCUAUUGCUCCCCAAGAAUAACAUCUUCCAGAAGAACUAGACAGAAAACUAGGCGUCUGGGAACUCUGAAAUCCUUGGAGGAGUAGCAUCAUCAUGACCCUCUGUGUUCCUUUUGGCAAAGGACUUGCUCCCAUUGUUUGCUUGUUCAAUUGUCUGUCCG
Molecule: long non-coding RNA, 444 nt
Filed under: Homo sapiens (human)
Lineage: Eukaryota; Metazoa; Chordata; Mammalia; Primates; Hominidae
Description: non-protein coding lnc-NECAP2-1:4
Source: RNAcentral